This 66-nucleotide transfer RNA is filed under the name Anathallis sertularioides. RNAcentral's name for it is "partial tRNA-His". Lineage: Eukaryota; Viridiplantae; Streptophyta; Magnoliopsida; Asparagales; Orchidaceae. The record is from RNAcentral.
GCGGAUGUAGCCCAGUGGAUCAAGGCAGUGGGAUUGUGACACCCCACGCGGCCGCGCGCGGGAAAA